Molecule: ribosomal RNA, 425 nt
Filed under: uncultured prokaryote
Description: bacterial SSU rRNA
Rfam family: Bacterial small subunit ribosomal RNA
Source: RNAcentral
UGGGGAAUCAUGGUCAAUGGGCGAAAGCCUGAACCUGCGACGCCGCGUGAGUGAUGAAGGUCGUAAGAGCGUAAAACUCUUUUCAGGGAUCUUAAAGCCUGUCUGUCAACAACAGGCAGGUCUGACUCUCCUUGGAAGAAGCCCCAGCCAACUACGUGCCAGCAGCUGCGGUAAUACGUAGGGGGCGAGCGUUAUUCGGAAUUACUGGGUGUAAAGGGUAUGUAGGCGGCCCUUCAAGUCACGUGUCAAAGUCCAGUGCUCAACGCUGGGUGUGCACGCGAUACUGACGGGCUUGAGGGCUGGAGAGGUGAGCGGAAUUCCCGGUGUAGUGGUAAAAUACGUAGAGAUCGGGAGGAACACCAGCGGCGCAGGCGGCUCACUGGACAGUUUCUGACGCUAAGGUACGAAAGCGUGGGGAGCAAACA